CCUACGGGAGGCAGCAGUGGGGAAGAGUGCACAAUGGGGGAAACCCUGAUGCAGCGACGCCGCGUGAGUGAAGAAGAAUUUCGGUACGUAAAGCUCUAUCAGCAGGGAAGAAAAGGACGGUACCUGACUAAGAAGCCCCGGCGAACUACGUGCCAGCAGCCGCGGUAAGACGUAGGGGGCAAGCGUUCUCCGGAUUUACUGGGUGUAAAGGGAGCGUAGACGGCAGCGCAAGUCUGGAGUGAAAUCCCAUGGCUUAACCAUGGAACUGCUUUGGAAACUGUGCAGCUAGAGUGCAGGAGCGGUCAGCGGCAUUCCUAGUGUCGCGGUGACAUUCGUAGAUAUUAGGCGGAACACCAGUGGCGACGGCGGCUUACUGGACUGUACCUGACGUUGCGGCUCG
This 400-nucleotide ribosomal RNA is filed under the name uncultured bacterium. RNAcentral describes it as "partial 16S ribosomal RNA". It matches the Rfam family "Bacterial small subunit ribosomal RNA", at positions 338 to 755 of the family's 1533-position model. The record is from RNAcentral.